RNAcentral lists this ribosomal RNA (253 nucleotides) under uncultured bacterium. Its description in RNAcentral is "partial 16S ribosomal RNA". It matches the Rfam family "Bacterial small subunit ribosomal RNA", at positions 524 to 776 of the family's 1533-position model. The record is from RNAcentral.
UACGUAGGGUGCAAGCGUUGUCCGGAAUUAUUGGGCGUAAAGAGCUCGUAGGCGGUCUGUCGCGUCGGAUGUGAAAACCCAGGGCUCAACCCUGGGCCUGCAUUCGAUACGGGCAGACUAGAGUUCGGUAGGGGAGACUGGAAUUCCUGGUGUAGCGGUGAAAUGCGCAGAUAUCAGGAGGAACACCGAUGGCGAAGGCAGGUCACUGGGCCGCAACUGACGCUGAGGAGCGAAAGCGUGGGGAGCGAACAGG